This 403-nucleotide ribosomal RNA is filed under the name uncultured bacterium. RNAcentral describes it as "partial 16S ribosomal RNA". It matches the Rfam family "Bacterial small subunit ribosomal RNA", at positions 30 to 526 of the family's 1533-position model. The record is from RNAcentral.
AUUGAACGCUGGCGGCAGGCCUAACACAUGCAAGUCGAGCGACCGGCGGACGGGUGAGUAAUGGAUAGGGACUGCCCGAUGGGGGGGGAUAACUGCUGGAGACGGUAGCUAAUACCGCAUACUAUCGGAUAACCCAUAUGGGAUUAGCUAGUAGGUGAGGUAAUGGCCUACAUAGGCGACGAUCCCUAGCUGGUCUGAGAGGAUGAUCAGCCACACUGGAACUGAGACACGGCCCAGACUCCUACGGAGGCAGCAGUGGGGAAUAUUGCACAAUGGGCGCAAGCCUGAUGCAGCCAUGCCGCGUGUAUGAAGAAGGUCCUAGGUUUGUAAAGUACUUUAAGUCGGGAGGCGUUACCGACAGAAGAAGCACCGGCUAACUCCGUGCCAGCAGCCGCGGUAAUAC